This 442-nucleotide ribosomal RNA is filed under the name uncultured bacterium. RNAcentral's name for it is "partial 16S ribosomal RNA". It matches the Rfam family "Bacterial small subunit ribosomal RNA", at positions 338 to 795 of the family's 1533-position model. The record is from RNAcentral.
CCUACGGGAGGCAGCAGUAGGGAAUCUUUCACAAUGGGCGAAACCCUGAUGCAGCGACGCCGCGUGCGUGAUGAAGUACUUCGUUUUGUAAACCGCUAUCAUCAGCGAGGAAUAUGACGGUACCUGAGUAAUAAGCCCCGGCUAACUACGUGCCAGCAGCCGCGGUCAUACGUAGGGUCCGAGCAUUAUCCGGAGUUACUGGGUGUAAAGAGUUGCUUAGGUGGCAUGAUAAGUAGCUAGUGAAGUCUGGUGGCCCAACCAUUCAGACUAUUAGCUACUCUGUUAAGCUCGAGACCGUGAGGGGUAACUGGAAUUGCUAGUGUAGGAGUGAAAUCCGUAGAUAUUAGAAGGAACACCAAUAGCGUAGGCAGGUUACUGGGACGGUUCUGACACUAAGGCACGAAAGCGUAGGGAGCAAACGGGAUUAGAUACCCUAGUAGUC